UCCUAGAUCAUGCAGACUUAAAAUCAGUUUGGCUGAAAGAACCCACCGAUACCCCCAUAGGGGAUCUUAUGUCCGCAUCGUCUGUAAAAAUACUGCAAUCCUCUAACAUGAUGCACUUCAUUAUCAAAUUUCCCAAAAUAAAAUUAUCUUGUAAGAAGGUCACUAUUUUCCCAGUCGCUUGCAAAGGAGUUAUGCUGCGGAUAACCGACAGCAUGGUAGCAAAGUGUGGUAGUAGUCCACACAAUCAAAAAUUGCAUCCCAGCACCGGGGGCUACCUUUUGCCAACUAUCAACGGAAAGCUCAUGCGCCAGGGAACUACACGCAGGCGUCCUAGCGCAUUGCGAGUCGCAACCAAGCGACCUACACCCGCUCACCAUCAUCAAUGACCGGCCAGCCAGGGUCACGGUAGACAACGAAACAGAAGUCUACCUACGCGGCACACAUCUCAUCACCUUCAACGAUCGCGUCGUGAUAAAUGACACCACCUUUGUAAAUCAUGACAAGGCCCAAACAAGAGCUCCAGGGGUAGCGAAUUCCCCAUCAUUGAAUAUCACCGCCAACAGAGAUAUUCUGAGCCUCCCCUACCUUCACCAGCUAAGUGAACGUAACUUGGAGUUCAUCAAAGAGUUCGGGAGAGAAAUUGAUACUGAUCAUUCUCAUCGCAUAAUAUUUGUCGCAGCAGCGAUUUGUUGUGCAUUGGUAUGUAUCGGCAUCGCCUGUCUACGGUACAUCGGAGCGCGGAGAUCUGCAAUCCAGUUAAACGGGAUGAUCGCCGAAUUAGGACCAACCGAGGACGGCCGUAAUCUUGAAGGGGGAGUAGUUAACACGAGCCAACGAGCUAGACCAGUUGGCUCAGUGCAUGAAACAUAACGUUAAAGUGCUGACCCAGCAUCGGGCCGGAAACCCGUGCGCAGCCGGCAAACACAGCAUAUUUGCGUUGCCGCUGCGAGUCUUUUGUUAGCUGUAAGAUUCAGUUUUAAGUUCAGUUUAUAUUUGACAUUAAUAAAGAGCGGCUGCUCGUCAACCUUAUUACUCCGACUGAACGUCGUAAAAUAUAUUUGUAUUAAUUACUCUGCCAGACCACAAGGCUGGCAGCUAAAAGAGGAAAGUUCCUCUCAACAUAAAAUCUGUGACUGCAGCGAGGGAUCCCCCCUGCCACCCCCAACUUUAAUUACAUAUACACCCAAGUGACAAAAACAACAUUUCAGAAUAAGUAACUAUGGCCGCACAGUGUUGCCAUUUAACGAAUAUUUUAAUCUUACGUGGUGAAAGUCUUUUCCAAGUACCCAACAAUUUAAUUAUGGAAUCACAGAAAACAAUUAUGGGUAAGAAAGGAUGGCAGCGGCAUCGAAAUUUUAAAUGAAAUUACUCCAAACCCAAGUGGAAAGGCGAGCAAUGUUGGUAUCGGAAACGAUUCUGCAGUUAUAGAUAAAUAUCAACCAAUUUAAAGCAUUUACAUCCAUUUGUUAUUUGAACAAUCGGUUGCUAACGAUUCUUAAGUUGUAAUUUAUGUUGAUUAUAUAUUUAUGUAUUUUUA
Long non-coding RNA from Drosophila yakuba, 1537 nucleotides. RefSeq lists it as uncharacterized. The record is from RefSeq and is a predicted model, not a curated record. The transcript is spliced from 2 exons. Lineage: Eukaryota; Metazoa; Arthropoda; Insecta; Diptera; Drosophilidae.